Molecule: long non-coding RNA, 2129 nt
Organism: Cervus elaphus (red deer)
Lineage: Eukaryota; Metazoa; Chordata; Mammalia; Artiodactyla; Cervidae
Exons: 2
Source: RefSeq, a predicted model, not a curated record
UUACUUCCCAACAAACCUUUGGCAUGUAAAUACCCAUCUCAGGCUCGGUUUCUCAGGAAAAUGUGCCGGUGUCACCGACUCCUCCUGUAAAUAAAGUAAACUCCAACACUUCAGUGUGAGACGUCUGUUGUGAUGAAGGAACUGAAGUUCAGAAAGGAUCUGCUGCAAAUCACUCAGCUGAUGAGAGGCAGAGACCACAUGUGAACCAAGUCAGACUCCAAAUCUUGUACCUGAAAAGUAACACGCUCCCCUGCUCUACAGACGGCCUUCAUUUCCUUCUACCAGCCCCGGCAUUCCCACCUGCGUGGCACCUUCCUCCACACUUCAGUCAGAUAUCAGUUCCUUGCUAUUCUUUAGAAGAAACUGGAGUUAUUGGCCUAAAGUAUUCAGAUUGACUCCAAUGACAGUUUCCAGUUGACUACAUCGUAACUGACCUUGCUGAGUGGCACAAGUGAUUCAGAAGUUCAUUCUUUCCAUGCUCCACUAGGAAGUGAGUGGUUAAAAAGAGCAUAGACUGAGGAAAACAAGGGAUAAGUGAAUAUGGAGUACAACCAUUAAAAUUACAUGAAAAGGCAAAUUGGGAGAGCCAAAUAUUAUUACUGUGAAGAAUUACUUCACACUGCCUCUGACCACAGUUAGAAAAACUGCCACGAUACAAAUGCCUUGGCCGAGAUGUCAAGGUAAAACAACUCUUUUUAAAUGUUUCCUAAUAAAAUUUUUAAGAUGGAAAAUAAAUGUUAGAACAAAGACAACAGAACUUCAAAACAGAAAAAAUCUCUAACUGCAUACAAUGAACAUAACGCCAAAUACUAUCCUUCUCCAAACUUCUCUUUCACUUGUCUUACUUAUAUACCACAUUCAAAAUAUAAUAGAAGUUCAGCCGCAAAGUCAACUUAGAAAGGAGAAUUAUAUGGCCUAGCUGCACAGAUUGAUUUAAUAGCAAAGUCCUUCCCUAUAAAGACAUAUAUAUGCUAUCUGGAAGAACUUUCAAGUUCUUCAUUUUAUUUUUUACUAACGAUUGAAUGAUUAUAGGAAAAAAACUCACUCUUUCCUCUUAUUCUCAGCAAGAAGUGUCAGCCGCGUGAUUUGGGGGAAAAAAAGUAAACUUAUCUGGGGUGAUCAAACAGGAAAUCAGCAUCCGUAGUUUUGGGUAGAUCCCUCAGGUUGCAGUAUUCACUGUCUAUACUUACCUUCCUCUGUUCUUCCUCUUUUUGAGCUGUUUUGCUACCCACCCAUCCCCACCCCCCACCCAAGAUCUCUGGCCCAUAAUUUUGCUCUAACAACUACCAUAUUGGGAACCUGACGUUUCUGCACAUUAUAAGCUUUAUUGACAUACAAUAUUGUGUAAGUUUAAGGUGCAUGAUGUGACGAUGUGAUACUUACAUAGUCUGAAAUGAUGAAUUUAAAAGCUUCUUAUAUACUACUUUGGCUCAGGCAUUUACAGUCUAAUUCUCAAACCAGAACAGCAGUUACUAUAGGAAAAGGAUUCUUUCUUUCUUGUCCAUUUUGGUAUUUUCAGAGCCUGGCACAAUAUCAGUACUUAAAAAACAAUCGUUGAGCUCCAAAUGAUUUGGAUGGAGAAGCCAAUUUUAAGUCUUUGAAAAUCCAUGACAACAUGUACGCAUUCAGACUGUUUCAAGAUAGAAGCUUAACUGAUGGUUUUUCUUCCCUUUCUCUGGUACAAGAGGAUGCCUGCAUAUCCUUUCACCACAAAGAAAAAUUUAAGAUCAGGACAGUUACCUAGGAAGAAAGCUUGUAUUGAAGUGUCUAAUAAUUGGGGUUCCAGGUUUAAUGGGCAAUUAGCUCAAAUGCUAAAGAACUAGACAAUUGAAUGUGAGGCGACAGUAAAAAUAACUACCUUUUGGAGAAACAAGAACUACCCCACAUUAAAAGGAAGAGAUAGGAUGUGAACGGUAACAGAAGGAUGAGGUAAGUACAAGGGGCCCUCAGAAGUCUGGAAACAGUCCCAGGGAAGUUGUCCAAGAAAGAUAAAGGGCCACAGUCUCAUAAAAGUUGAGCAGGUGCAAUUAAUGGACUUCAAGAAAACUACUUCCUUUGCAUUUUAUCUCUGUAAAACAAGUAUUAUAUUUCCCUUUAAUAAACACUCCUUAAAAGUUUUCCUGAAAAUA